CCUACGGGUGGCUGCAGUGAGGAAUAUUGGUCAAUGGGCGCGAGCCUGAACCAGCCAUGUAGCGUGAAGGAUGAAUGCCCUACGGGUUGUAAACUUCUUUUAUAAAGGAAUAAAGUGAGGAACGUGUGCCUUUUUGUAUGUACUUUAUGAAUAAGGAUCGGAUAACUCCGUGCCAGCAGCCGAGGUAAUACGGAGGAUCCGAGCGUUAGCCGGAUUUAUUGGGUUUAAAGGGAGCGUAGAUGGGUUGUUAAGUCAGUUGUGAAAGUUUGCGGCUCAACCGUAAAAUUGCAAUUGAUACUGGCAGCCUUGAGUACAGUUGAGGUAGGCGGAAUUCGUGGUGUAGCGGUGAAAUGCUUAGAUAUCACGAAGAACUCCGAUUGCGAAGGCAGCUUACUAAACUGCCACUGACAUUGAUGCUCGAAAGUGUGGGUAUCAAACAGGAUUAGAUACCCGUGUAGUC
This 460-nucleotide ribosomal RNA is filed under the name uncultured bacterium. RNAcentral describes it as "partial 16S ribosomal RNA". It matches the Rfam family "Bacterial small subunit ribosomal RNA", at positions 338 to 795 of the family's 1533-position model. The record is from RNAcentral.